CCUACGGGUGGCAGCAGUGGGGAAUAUUGCACAAUGGGGGCAACCCUGAUGCAGCGACGCCGCGUGAGUGAAGAAGUAUUUCGGUAUGUAAAGCUCUAUCAGCAGGGAAGAAGAAAGACGGUACCAGACUAAGAAGCCCUGGCUAACUACGGGCCAGCAGCCGCGGUAAUACGUAGGGGGCAAGCGUUAUUCGGAGUUACUGGGGGUAAAGGGAGCGUAGACGGCUGUGCAAGUCCGAGGUGAAAGCCCAGGGUUCAACCCUGGGAAUGCUUUGGAGACUGUGGAGCGAGAGUGCUGGAGAGGUGAGUGGAAUUCCUAGUGUAGCGGUGAAAUGCGUAGAUAUUAGGAGGAACACCAGUGGCGAAGGCGGCUUACUGGACAGUAACUGACGUUGAGGCUCGAAAGCGUGGGGAGCAAACAGGAUUAGAUACCCUAGUAGUC
Molecule: ribosomal RNA, 441 nt
Filed under: uncultured bacterium
Lineage: Bacteria
Description: partial 16S ribosomal RNA
Rfam family: Bacterial small subunit ribosomal RNA
Source: RNAcentral